This 2889-nucleotide ribosomal RNA is filed under the name Acinetobacter baumannii 25253_5. RNAcentral describes it as "bacterial LSU rRNA". It matches the Rfam family "Bacterial large subunit ribosomal RNA". The record is from RNAcentral. Lineage: Bacteria; Pseudomonadati; Pseudomonadota; Gammaproteobacteria; Moraxellales; Moraxellaceae.
CAAGUAAUUAAGUGCAUGUGGUGGAUGCCUUGGCAGUCAGAGGCGAUGAAAGACGUGAUAGCCUGCGAAAAGCUCCGGGGAGGCGGCAAAUAUCCUUUGAUCCGGAGAUGUCUGAAUGGGGGAACCCACCUACUUUAAGGUAGGUAUUGCAACAUGAAUACAUAGUGUUGCAAGGCGAACGAGGGGAAGUGAAACAUCUCAGUACCCUUAGGAAAAGAAAUCAAUUGAGAUUCCCUCAGUAGCGGCGAGCGAACGGGGAUCAGCCCAUUAAGUUAUGUGUGUUUUAGUGGAACGCUCUGGGAAGUGCGAACGUAGAGGGUGAUAUUCCCGUACACGAAAGGGCACACAUAAUGAUGACGAGUAGGGCGAGGCACGUGAAACCUUGUCUGAAUAUGGGGGGACCAUCCUCCAAGGCUAAAUACUCCUGACUGACCGAUAGUGAACCAGUACCGUGAGGGAAAGGCGAAAAGAACCCCUGUGAGGGGAGUGAAAUAGAUCCUGAAACCGCAUGCAUACAAGCAGUGGGAGCACCUUCGUGGUGUGACUGCGUACCUUUUGUAUAAUGGGUCAGCGACUUAUAUUCAGUAGCGAGGUUAACCGUAUAGGGGAGCCGUAGAGAAAUCGAGUCUUAAUAGGGCGUUUAGUUGCUGGGUAUAGACCCGAAACCAGGCGAUCUAUCCAUGAGCAGGUUGAAGGUUGGGUAACACUAACUGGAGGACCGAACCCACUGUCGUUGAAAAGCCAGGGGAUGACUUGUGGAUAGGGGUGAAAGGCUAAUCAAGCCUGGUGAUAGCUGGUUCUCCCCGAAAGCUAUUUAGGUAGCGCCUCGGACGAAUACCAUAGGGGGUAGAGCACUGUUUCGGCUAGGGGGUCAUCCCGACUUACCAAACCGAUGCAAACUCCGAAUACCUAUGAGUACUAUCCGGGAGACAGACUGCGGGUGCUAACGUCCGUAGUCAAGAGGAAAACAAUCCAGACCGCCAGCUAAGGCCCCAAAAUCAUAGUUAAGUGGGAAACGAUGUGGGAAGGCAUAGACAGCUAGGAGGUUGGCUUAGAAGCAGCCACCCUUUAAAGAAAGCGUAAUAGCUCACUAGUCGAGUCGGCCUGCGCGGAAGAUGUAACGGGGCUAAAACUAUGUGCCGAAGCUGCGGAUGUAUACUUUGUAUACGUGGUAGGGGAGCGUUCUGUAAGCCGAUGAAGGUGUGUUGAGAAGCAUGCUGGAGGUAUCAGAAGUGCGAAUGCUGACGUGAGUAACGACAAAACGGGUGAAAAACCCGUUCGCCGAAAGACCAAGGGUUCCAGUCCAACGUUAAUCGGGGCUGGGUGAGUCGACCCCUAAGGCGAGGCCGAAAGGCGUAGUCGAUGGGAAAAUGGUUAAUAUUCCAUUACUUCUGUGUAAUGCGAUGAGAGGACGGAGAAGGCUAAAUCAGCCUGGCGUUGGUUGUCCAGGUGAAAGGAUGUAGGCAUGUAUCUUAGGCAAAUCCGGGGUACUCUAUGCUGAGAUCUGAUAGCAAGCUGUACUUGUACAGCGAAGUGGUUGAUGCCAUGCUUCCAGGAAAAGUCUCUAAGCUUCAGUUACACAGGAAUCGUACCCGAAACCGACACAGGUGGUCAGGUCGAGUAGACCAAGGCGCUUGAGAGAACUCUGCUGAAGGAACUAGGCAAAAUGGUACCGUAACUUCGGGAGAAGGUACGCUGUUGUUGGUGAUGGAACUCGCUUCCUGAGCUGACGACAGCCGCAGAAACCAGGCCGCUGCAACUGUUUAUUAAAAACAUAGCACUCUGCAAACACGAAAGUGGACGUAUAGGGUGUGAUGCCUGCCCGGUGCUGGAAGGUUAAUUGAUGGGGUUAGCGUAAGCGAAGCUCUUGAUCGAAGCCCCAGUAAACGGCGGCCGUAACUAUAACGGUCCUAAGGUAGCGAAAUUCCUUGUCGGGUAAGUUCCGACCUGCACGAAUGGCAUAAUGAUGGCGGCGCUGUCUCCAGCAGAGGCUCAGUGAAAUCGAAAUCGCUGUGAAGAUGCAGUGUACCCGCGGCUAGACGGAAAGACCCCGUGAACCUUUACUGCAGCUUGACACUGAACUUUGACCUUACUUGUGUAGGAUAGGUGGGAGGCUUUGAAGCUGGAACGCUAGUUCCAGUGGAGCCGUCCUUGAAAUACCACCCUGGUAAUGUUGAGGUUCUAACUCUGUCCCGUGAUCCGGGACGAGGACCGUGUCUGGUGGGUAGUUUGACUGGGGCGGUCUCCUCCUAAAGAGUAACGGAGGAGUACGAAGGUGCGCUCAGCGUGGUCGGAAAUCACGCGUAGAGUAUAAAGGCAAAAGCGCGCUUAACUGCGAGACCCACAAGUCGAGCAGGUACGAAAGUAGGUCUUAGUGAUCCGGUGGUUCUGUAUGGAAGGGCCAUCGCUCAACGGAUAAAAGGUACUCUGGGGAUAACAGGCUGAUACCGCCCAAGAGUUCAUAUCGACGGCGGUGUUUGGCACCUCGAUGUCGGCUCAUCUCAUCCUGGGGCUGAAGCAGGUCCCAAGGGUAUGGCUGUUCGCCAUUUAAAGAGGUACGCGAGCUGGGUUUAGAACGUCGUGAGACAGUUCGGUCCCUAUCUACCGUGGGCGCUGGAAAUUUGAGAGGAUCUGCUCCUAGUACGAGAGGACCAGAGUGGACGAACCUCUGGUGUACCGGUUGUGACGCCAGUCGCAUCGCCGGGUAGCUAUGUUCGGAAGGGAUAACCGCUGAAAGCAUCUAAGCGGGAAGCCUACCUCAAGAUAAGAUUUCCCUAGGACUUUAUGUCCUCUAAAGAGCCGUUUGAGACUAGGACGUUGAUAGGUUGGAUGUGGAAGCAUAGUGAUAUGUGAAGCUGACCAAUACUAAUUGCUCGUGAGGCUUGACUA